RNAcentral lists this unclassified non-coding RNA (375 nucleotides) under uncultured bacterium. RNAcentral's name for it is "contains 16S-23S intergenic spacer region". The record is from RNAcentral.
UCCGGUUUGGCACCGGCAGUCUCGCAUGAGUCCCCGGCCGAACCGCUGGCAACAUGCGACGAGGGUUGCGCUCGUUGCGGGACUUAACCCAACAUCUCACGACACGAGCUGACGACAGCCAUGCACCACCUGUGAAGGUGCCCCGAAGGGAAGGUGUGUUUCCACACCGGUCACCCACAUGUCAAGCCCAGGUAAGGUUCUUCGCGUUGCGUCGAAUUAAACAACAUACUCCACCGCUUGUGCGGGUCCCCGUCAAUUCCUUUGAGUUUUAACCUUGCGGCCGUACUCCCCAGGCGGCUCACUUCACGCGUUAGCUACGGUACCAAGGAAUCGCUUCCCCAACACCUAGUGAGCAUCGUUUAGGGCGUGGACUAC